AUUGAACGCUGGCGGAAUGCUUUACACAUGCAAGUCGAACGGCAGCACGGACUUCGGUCUGGUGGCGAGUGGCGAACGGGUGAGUAAUGUAUCGGGACGUGCCCAGUCGUGGGGGAUAACGUAGUGAAAAUUACGCUAAUACCGCAUACGAUCUAUGGAUGAAAGCGGGGGAUCGCAAGACCUCGCGCGAUUGGAGCGGUCGAUAUCAGAUUAGGUAGUUGGUGGGGUAAAGGCCCACCAAGCCAACGAUCUGUAGCUGGUCUGAGAGGACGAACAGCAACACUGGAACAGAGACGCGGUCCAGACUCCUACGGGAGGCAUCAGUGGGGAAUUUUGGACAAUGGGCGAAAGCCUGAUCCAGCCAUUCCGAGUGCAGGAUGAAGGCCCUCGGGUUGUAAACUGCUUUUGUACAGAACGAAAAGGUUUCUACUAAUACUAGGAGCUCAUGACGGUACUGUAAGAAUAAGCACCGGCUAACUACGUGCCAGCCGCCGCCGUAA
RNAcentral lists this ribosomal RNA (500 nucleotides) under uncultured bacterium. RNAcentral's name for it is "partial 16S ribosomal RNA". It matches the Rfam family "Bacterial small subunit ribosomal RNA", at positions 30 to 523 of the family's 1533-position model. The record is from RNAcentral.